GACGAACGCUGGCGGCGUGCCUAAUACAUGCAAGUAGAACGCACAGUUUAUACCGUAGCUUGCUACACCAUAGACUGUGAGUUGCGAACGGGUGAGUAACGCGUAGGUAACCUGCCUGGUAGCGGGGGAUAACUAUUGGAAACGAUAGCUAAUACCGCAUAAUAUUGAUUAUUGCAUGAUAAUUAAUUGAAAGGUGCAAUUGCACCACUACCAGAUGGACCUGCGUUGUAUUAGCUAGUAGGUGAGGUAACGGCUCACCUAGGCGACGAUACAUAGCCGACCUGGAAGGGUGAUCGGCCACACUGGGACUGCGACACGGCCCAGACUCCUACGGGGGGCAGCAGUAGGGAAUCUUCGGCAAUGGACGAAAGUCUGACCGAGCAACGCCGCGUGAGUGAAGAAGGUUUUCGGAUCGUAAAGCUCUGUUGUAAGAGAAGAACGGGUGUGAGAGUGGAAAGUUCACACUGUGACGGUAUCUUACCAGAAAGGGACGGCUAACUACGUG
This 505-nucleotide ribosomal RNA is filed under the name uncultured bacterium. Its description in RNAcentral is "partial 16S ribosomal RNA". It matches the Rfam family "Bacterial small subunit ribosomal RNA", at positions 28 to 507 of the family's 1533-position model. The record is from RNAcentral.